GGUUCAGGAUGAACGCUAGCGACAGGCCUAACACAUGCAAGUCGAGGGGCAGCACAAGGAGCAAUCUGAGGUGGCGACCGGCGCACGGGUGAGUAACACGUAUGCAACCUGCCUGUAAGCGGGGAAUAACCCGUUGAAAGACGGACUAAUACCGCAUAAUACUAAAUUACUGCAUGGUAAUUUAUUUAAACAUUUAUGGCUUACAGAUGGGCAUGCGCAUGAUUAGCUAGUUGGAGAGGUAACGGCUCCCCAAGGCAACGAUCAUUAGGGGUUCUGAGAGGAAGGUCCCCCACACUGGUACUGAGACACGGACCAGACUCCUACGGGAGGCAGCAGUGAGGAAUAUUGGUCAAUGGACGAGAGUCUGAACCAGCCAAGUCGCGUGCAGGAAGAAUGUUCCCUAUGGAUUGUAAACUGCUUUUGCAGGGGAAUAAAGUGCAUCACGUGUGAUGUUUUGUAUGUACUCUGCGAAUAAGGAUCGGCUAACUCCGUGCCAGCCGCAGC
RNAcentral lists this ribosomal RNA (504 nucleotides) under uncultured bacterium. RNAcentral's name for it is "bacterial SSU rRNA". It matches the Rfam family "Bacterial small subunit ribosomal RNA", at positions 21 to 518 of the family's 1533-position model. The record is from RNAcentral.